AAGCAAGGGAGAAAGGGGGUCUCAGAAUACUAAGAGUUUAGGAAUCUAGGAAUGGAGAAGAUUCUGGAAUUCCGGAGUGUUACUGAUCAGGGCCCAGAGGGAGGUGGGAAGAUAUGCAGGGCUUCACGGUUGCCAAGAGGAUGAAAGUCACAAGUGGGCGUGGCAGGGCUUUGUUCCUUCUGAAGCUCAGGACAAAGCACUGGGCUUCCCUCCUGCCUGGGAGCCUUCAGGACGGCAUGGAGUUUGGCCACGUGGUGGGAGCGCCCUGAGUGCGUGGCACAGAGUGUUCAACUGGUCACCUCUCCUGAGCCUCACAGCCUCUCAAGGAAGAUCUGAGGAGGAAACUGAGGCCCACCCCCACCCAGACUGAGGGGCAGGACUCACUGCAAG
This is a long non-coding RNA of Gorilla gorilla gorilla (western lowland gorilla), 390 nucleotides long. RefSeq lists it as uncharacterized. The transcript is spliced from 3 exons. The record is from RefSeq and is a predicted model, not a curated record. Lineage: Eukaryota; Metazoa; Chordata; Mammalia; Primates; Hominidae.